CCUGCUCAAUGAAAACUUAAAUAGCCGCAGAUUCUGUGCUAAGGUAGCAUAAUCACUUGUUUUUUAAUUAAAAACUGGAAUGAAAGGAAAAACAUUUAAAUAUUUUUAUUAUUGAUAUUAAUCUAACUUUUAUUAAAUAUAAAAAUAUAUUUAUUAUAUAAAAAGACGAUAAGACCCUAUUGAACUUAACUUUUGUUUAGCUGGGGCAGCUAAUAAAAUUAAAUUUUUAUUUAUACUAAUCUAUAAAUAUCCUAUAUAAUUGAUUUAUAUUUAGUUACCAUAGGGAUAACAGCGUAAUAUUAUUUAAAAGUUCUUAUUUAAAAUAAUGUUUACGACCUCGAUGUUGAAUUAUUAUCUCUUUAUUUAACGCAAUAGUUAUAAUAGUAGGUCUGUUCGACCUUUAAAAUAAUACA
RNAcentral lists this ribosomal RNA (413 nucleotides) under Wamba crispulus. Its description in RNAcentral is "partial 16S ribosomal RNA". Lineage: Eukaryota; Metazoa; Arthropoda; Arachnida; Araneae; Theridiidae. The record is from RNAcentral.